This 68-nucleotide transfer RNA is filed under the name uncultured Siminovitchia sp. It matches the Rfam family "tRNA". From Rfam's summary of the family: Transfer RNA (tRNA) molecules are approximately 80 nucleotides in length. Their secondary structure includes four short double-helical elements and three loops (D, anti-codon, and T loops). The record is from RNAcentral. Lineage: Bacteria; Bacillati; Bacillota; Bacilli; Caryophanales; Bacillaceae.
GAAGUGGCUCAGCUUGGUAGAGCACUUGGUUUGGGACCAAGGGGUCGCAGGUUCAAAUCCUGUCUUCC